Long non-coding RNA from Gorilla gorilla gorilla (western lowland gorilla), 3936 nucleotides. RefSeq lists it as uncharacterized. The transcript is spliced from 2 exons. The record is from RefSeq and is a predicted model, not a curated record. NCBI's taxonomy places the organism in Eukaryota, Metazoa, Chordata, Mammalia, Primates, Hominidae.
GCUGCCAACAGAAAGAGAUGUUUAGGUAGAAGAAGAGGAAAAGGGGAGGAAAGCCAGAGCCGCAGAUGCAGAAUGGAAGUCGGGAUGGGUGCAUGGGGAGCUCUGUGGGCUGGUUGGUGCUGGCCCUCAGAGAAGAUGCUGCCUGGGUGAACCAAACUUCCCUAUGGAAAAAGUGGAGAGUAACUUGCCCUAAUUAACAUGAAACUGAGCACCUAGAACAGGGCCUGGUGCCGAGAAGAUAAUCAGUAUCUCUUUGACAUCAGCAACAGUCAGCUGCUCACAAAUGAUAAUAAAGAUCUGGGAGGGUGAAGGGGCCAAGGAGAAUCUGUCCUUCCAGCAGCUCUCUGGGACCUUGCCAGAGAAGGCUGGAGCAGGGGAGGGCCUUCACCAGACGUGGCCUGGUUCUCACCUAGAUGCUGGGCAGAGACCAAAGAGCAUGUGCGAGGGCCUUCCACUUGGAAAGCACCAUGCCAGCAUCAGGAGUGGUCCUCCUGUUCAGCUAACCCUAGGAAAUUAGUCUUUCUCAGAAGAGUGGGCAGAGAAGGAAAGAAGAUCUUGUGACCUGGAGCUUGGGCAUCUGUACAAGGAUGAGAAAGGCCACCUGGGUGAGUUUUAACAUCCCCAUAUGCAACACCAGGCCCUAGAACACCCAGGUUGUAAUGCUGAUUUUGCUGUUUUGCCGAGACAGAAAGUCACCUCUCUGUGGGCCUCAACUGUAUACUGUGUAUGGUGAGCUUAUACAUUCUCCUCACAGGUGGCCAGACAGCAUGGUAAAGCCCGGAUGCAGAGCUUGCUUCUGCACUAUUGCAGAUUUCAUCUCGGGGAUAAAAAUGCUUGUCCAUCUGGCAUAACUUGGACCAGGUGAUGCUAGAGCCCCAGAAGGGUAGAACUCUGCCUUUUGUCCAUAAUCUAUAGUCCUAGCCCUUAGAAGGUUCACAUGACAUCUUUUUUUUUUUUUUAAAGAGAAGGGGCCUCGCCAUGUUGCCCAGGCUGGCCUCACACUUCUGGGCUUAAGCGAUCCUCCCACCUCAGCCUCCUAAGCAGCUAAGACCAUAAGUGGUUGCUACCGCACCUGACUCAUGAAAUCAUUUUUGAAAUCUCCAGUGAUAAGGGCUCUGUGUUUAGAAAACUUUCUUCCACGAGGGCUUCUGUAACUCUUUGGUCUCAGGAACUGCUUAGAACUUUGUAACUAAUGGUGCUAGUUAUGUUUCCUUGAGGCUACUCACCUAGGAAGCCCUUGGACACCAUCUGUGUCAGCAGUUCUGGGUUUCCACCUCCAAACCGCUCCCCAAAGACUUUGCCCAGAUCUUCCGCCACAUGUUUCGCUACAUCCACACCAACUUCAUCCACCAGUGUGGCGGCACCCACAGGAAAGCCAAAGCUUGUGGUCAGGGAAUCCAGCUUCUUCGGGUCAACUCCUUCCUGAACAGGAAGCGAUGCAGGGACCUCAGGGGAAGGGCAGCCCAAAUCCCCCCAAAGGGCUCCCUGUACUGGCUCCAAACACUGCCUUGUGUAAAACCCACUUCUGAGUGUCACCUGACCAGGCCCAGGACUGGUGCUAUUUCAUUCAGGGAAGCACAAAGAAGUUUGGGGCCACAAGUGGAAAGUCUCAGCCUUCUCUAAUCUACAGCACUUUAAGGACGUUUAGAGAUGACUAAAUUCUUCAUUUUCUUCUUGUUUGCAUUUCUGAAUCUCAAUAAUAAGGAGAUUGCAUGACAGACGGCUGAGUGUGUCAUGACCAACAGAAGAAACAUCAUCAAAGAGGAGCACUCAGAGCCCUGUGAUCCCCAAGUCUGGGUAAGUGCCCAGCGAGGAGGAUCCCUCUCCUUUCCUGCCAGAAUGACCUCGAUGGCUACUGGAGGGGUCUGUGUGCUGCGGAAACAGAUGCAGCACCAGUUGAACCAAGCGGGCCCUGUUCUGGAUGGUCCCUGCCUCAGAGAGGUGCAGAAACAGCAUAGAAGACAUGCUGGGGGGUGGGGCGCCUUUAGCUUUCUGGAACAGUGAGGAGGCUGUGGGGCAGAGGGAAAGCUCCGCCCCUUUCAGUGCGGUAUAAGCCCAACUUCCGACUGCUGUGCAGAGAGAGGGCAUCAGGGACCUUCCUAGACAAGAGCAGGAGUUGGUGUAUCAGAAGGAAGCUUGGUCCUUAUCUUGACAUUAUGAGUUUUAGAGUGACUGAAGGAGUGGAAGAUGCCGCAAACACUCUGGAGAGCAAUACCAACCUGGAGGAUUCGGAUGACUUCAGACAUCAUGGGCGCAAGACACCUGGUAGUAUAGAAGCCAGGUCCAUCCUGCCAAGGAAGAGAACAUGAGCUCACUGGCCCUGCUGCUGGGACUGAGUCUGAAACACUCUACCUUUCCCAGGGUCACUUCAAAGUCAUUUGAAAGUCACUGUAAAACUUAAGGUGACUUAAAAUCUCAAUCAGAAUCCUUAAAAAUGAAAUUGCAGGGGAAGCCGUACUAGGGGUAGCCUGGCUUGAAUCAAACAGUACAGCAGAUAGUUUCAUGGUCACCUUCAAGGUCUGGGAUGGCUGGGAGAACCCUGCCACAUCCUAGAUACUCCCCACUCCCACCUUGACUCAGUGGGACAGUCAAUACCACCGUCCAUCCUGGAGACAACCCAGGGGAAAAUCAUAUCAAAGUCUGGUCAUUUGCUCCAGACUAUUUAUAAAUAAGCCUGGAGGUAAAAGGAGUCUUAUUAGAACUUUUCAAAAACUCUGCAGCUCUGUUAUACAGCCCCUUACCUUAACCACAAUGAUGACCUUCCCCUGCUUGAGACCAACUGCUACAGCUGAAGCACUGGUGUCUUUGGAAGUUUUCUCGGUCGUGAUAAUCUCCAGCAGCUGCAUCUUGUCCACGGGAGAGAAGUAGUGCAUGCCAAUCACCUGGCAAGGGGAACCAAAAGCCAACAGAUUGGAGAAUGCGGGUGAGGAACCUGAGAGCAUUCCUUCUCUGCUAGGAAAACACUAGAAAGAAAGGUGGCUGUGAUAUAGGAAUACUGCUUGACAUAGCUGAGUGGUUUGGUUCCAUGGGUCUUUGAUAAAAGUUUAGUAUGUUUAGGGAGGGCACAUUGGAAUCCUCCUCUUCCAUUUGCUUCUAAGGUUUUUCACUACAGACAUCUGAUCCUCCCAACAAUCAGUGCCAAAACCACAGCUCGAGGCCAAACUAGAUUUAUUGGGGAACGACGGAUGAAGGUUCCACUUAUAUUAAUGAUACUGAUGGUUUAAAUAAGAGGAUCCAGUUUUUUUGGGCGGGGGUGGGGCAGGCAGAAGAAUUAAUGUGUUGGGCUGUCAGAGAAGUAUUUGCAUUUUACACAGAUGGGUCUCACCACCAGGAUACUAGGUUUAACUAACACUCCUCAACAGUCAGAUGCACUUAAGACUCAUUAAACCAGCAGUUCUCCAAGUGUAGUACCCGGACCCAACAAGCACUGUCAUCACCUGGGAGCGUUAGGCCUGCACAUUCUCAGGCCUAGCCCAGCCCUACUGAAUCAGAAACUCCAUGGGUGGGGCCCAGAUUUGUUUUAAUAAUCCCUCCUGGUGAUUCUGAUGUGUGCUAAGGUUUCAGAGAACCCCCUCAUUGAGCUAACAGUUACAUAGUCUUCCCAACAGAACUGUGGUGAAAGAAGUCUAAUUCAUUAAUUUAUAGUUUUGCUUUCUCCCUCUCACUUUAGCUAUAAGGUACAACAAGUGAUAUCUGUAAUUUUUGGCUGCUCAUUAUCUACCUGCUCUUCAAUACAUUUACCACUUAUUCCUUACAUUUAAUCCAUUACAACCCUAUGAACUGGUUAGCCUAAUUAUCUAGAUGAGGAAAAAAGGUAUCAAGAGGUUAGUAGUUCAGAGUCAGUCAGCAUAUGACGGGGUGGGAUUCCAUCACAGUUCUGUCUAUCUCCAAUGCCAUUAUGUAAUACACAGAUCAAUUAAAUGUUAUGUAAACUUA